RNAcentral lists this ribosomal RNA (406 nucleotides) under uncultured bacterium. RNAcentral describes it as "partial 16S ribosomal RNA". It matches the Rfam family "Bacterial small subunit ribosomal RNA", at positions 29 to 526 of the family's 1533-position model. The record is from RNAcentral.
AUUGAACGCUGGCGGCAGGCCUAACACAUGCAAGUCGAACGAGUGGCGGACGGGUGAGUAAAGUCUGGGAAACUGCCUGAUGGAGGGGGAUAACUACUGGAAACGGUAGCUAAUACCGCAUACCAUCGGAUGUGCCCAGAUGGGAUUAGCUAGUAGGUGGGGUAGAGGCUCACCUAGGCGACGAUCCCUAGCUGGGCUGAGAGGAUGACAAGCCACACGGGAACGGAGACACGGUCCAGACCCCUACGGGAGGCAGCAGUGGGGAAUAUUGCACAAUGGGCGCAAGCCUGAUGCAGCCAUGCCGCGUGUAUGAAGAAGGCCUUCGGGUUGUAAAGUACUUUCAGCGGUGAGGCGUUACCCGAAGAAGAAGCACCGGCUAACUCCGUGCCAGCAGCCGCGGUAAUAC